UACGGGGGGAGCAAGCGUUGUUCGGAUUUACUGGGCGUAAAGGGCGCGUAGGCGGCGUGACAAGUCACUUGUGAAAUCUCCGGGCUUAACUCGGAACGGUCAAGUGAUACUGUCGUGCUAGAGUACAGAAGGGGCAACUGGAAUUCUCGGUGUAGCGGUGAAAUGCGUAGAUAUCGAGAGGAACACCUGCGGCGAAGGCGGGUUGCUGGGCUGAUACUGACGCUGGAGGCGCGAAAGCUAGGGGAGCAAACGGG
RNAcentral lists this ribosomal RNA (254 nucleotides) under uncultured bacterium. Its description in RNAcentral is "partial 16S ribosomal RNA". It matches the Rfam family "Bacterial small subunit ribosomal RNA", at positions 524 to 776 of the family's 1533-position model. The record is from RNAcentral.